AAAAUAUGUUUUUGGAAGUUUAAAAAAUUGGAAAAUAUAAACGUGGAAAAUUGGUGAACUUAAUUAGUUCAAAAUUAUUAUUACUGCUAUUUUACAAUUGAUAUGUUUUUUUUUGUUUUUUGUGCACCAAACAAAGUAAAGGUUGACUUGAUAUGUUUUGGUUUAACAAUUUACCAUCUUUGGUGCAUUUUGCUUAGGAUUCCAAAAAAUUCGUAUAUUAUUUUAAAACAUUUGUCCCUGGAUCUCCAAAUCCCACCAAUUGACUGAUCGAAUGAUUUCACCCAAAAAAAUGGCCAAUCCAGGGUUCGAAGACCACAGUGCAUUCCUCCAAUGUUCUGGAAGCUAGCGUCUCCGGUAUGUAAGUUUCUUCAAGAGAUCAUUCUCAGUGCAGCGUCUUGCUCGCCCUGUUUUCGAGUACAAAUAGUUUAAACUUGUGAUUACGUUUGACUCUCUUGCUUCUGCCUAUCUAUCGAUAGUGUGUUGUUAACACAAAUGUCUGAUUUGUUGGAGCUUGCUGCACACUUUCAGUUUGGAAUUAUUCGUUAAUAUUUUCAUGUGUAUUGUUAAUAAUAAUGGUAGGUGGAGUCAGUCGAUACUAGAAAAGGAGAGCAUCGCACUGGAAGAGCUUCUUCACGAAGAAGAAAUUACUCAAGAAUGCAAAGCUUUGAAUAACCCGACUCAUUCAUAUUUUCUAAGGGAUAAAGCUAGAGUGGAGCAACUCUUGCUGUAUAUUGCUGAAGAACCUCGGGAUGACGAAUCGUGAAAUGAUGGCUGUUUCUGUUGGUCAUCAAAAUGUUUUUAGCCAGCUGGUUGAUUUGAUUGGAAUAGCAUCCAUUAUGGAGGUUUUGGUUCGCUUGGUGAGAGCUACUAAAUUAGUCCUCCUGAGGUUUAGGCAAAGGCAGCAGAAAGAUUAUGUGCAACUACUCGAAAUGCAUCUUCAGCUUUAGCUACAAAACUCUCCAGCUCUGGCUUCGUUUCUAGGAUAUUUGGUCAUGCUAUAGAAGAUUUACACUCAAAAUCUGGCCUAGUUCAUUCACUUACCGUCUCUGUUAGAUUCGAGGGGAGCAUUAUACUUUCUUGUUUGGCAAAUAAGAGCGAAGUAUUGGUCAACCAUAUCCUUCAAGAAUGCAAUCUAAAACCAAAAUUCUUUCAUCAGACAAAGACUCCCACCAUCUGCGCUUUGGAUUUAACUGAUGAUUAUCAAUAUGUUCGGAUGAUCAUUACUUCAUUAGUUAAACAAAUUUUUCUGCCACUUAUUUAAUCAGUGAUGCAGCCUACCGUGGAUGCUACUGGGAAAAACCCACCAAGAGUUGGAUAUGUUGGACAUAUAACAAGACUAUGGAAUAAACUGAUAAGCCUUGGAGGGUAUACUAUGGUAAGAAGAGGAAUGGAUUGAAUGAGAGAGAAGAGGAGCAGGAGGGAGCUAGUGCUGACGUGGACUGAAGUUGUUACGAGUUAGUUACAAGACGUUGGAGUCAGUUACGUUAGAGAGGAGUAUAAAUAAGAGUUCGUUUGUAAAGAGAGUUAGCUUUUGAGUAUUGUGUACAGGAUCUAUAGACUAAAGGUCUUGAUCUCAGGCUCUCGACGUGUGAGACGUCUUGAGAAGUUCUUGGUACUUGGCUUGUAUUUCUAAAGUGUAGAAUACAAGAGUGGGAGGUUGGGCGGAUUAUAAACAAAUUACAUUCAAUCUCUUAUCAUAAAUUGUCCAGCUGAGUGAUAGCAAUGCCUUGACAAAGUCGUCUCUUCAGGAAAACAGUGAACGGAAAGAGUGGCAAAGUAGUGUUCUGCAGGACCGCAACACUGUUGAGAAUUGUGUACAGAUGGGGUUGCGGGCGCCCAACUACACUACAAGAUAGAACAAGGGUAUUACGAUGUUGCCGCUCUGGCCAAUAAAUUGAGCCACGCAUUUAACUACAGAAGCUAUGGAAACAACAACGAUAAAUGAAGAGUUCAGGAAAACUUAAACCAGGAGGAGACUUCGGGAGUAACAGAGUUCAGUAAUACAAAUUUUUGGAGGGUUGAUCAACAAGUUACAGUUUUGGAGUAAAAUAUACAAAAUGGUAAUAAAGAAAAACAGAAGCCUGAAUAAAGUCUGCAUUUUUUCUAAUAGUUUUUUGUUUGUUUCGUAAUUUAUCAUGCUGUCUUUUUUUGUUUAUAUAAUUGUUAUCAUUAUAAUAUAUUAUUCGACGGAUUACAGUUUUUAAUAUAUAUUUUCAAUCAAACUCGUUUUUAAAUAUGUUGGAGAAAUUGGAGUGAUAUAUAUAUAUAUAUAUAUAUAUUAACAAGGUUCUUAUUCAACUUUAUAAUAUGAAGAUUCCACUAAAAGCGACACGCUAACAAAUUCUAGCCGAAUCGUCAUUUGAUCGGUAGAAAAGAAGACAUCCCACUUUGGUCCUUUUUGUUUUUUUUUUCCUAUUAAUUUGAAAUAUUAUUAAACUUAUACACUUGUUUAAUGACAUUAUAGGUGUUGUUUCACAUCAUCAAUUUACAUUCCUUUUAUACCCACUCAGACUAAGUCCACUUAACUCAGCAAUUUUCUCAAUUUUGAUUGGAAUUUGUCGUCAUAAAAUACUGUCCGUUGACAUCUUUUUGUUUCCGACAAAACUUUUUUUGCAGUUUUUGUUCACUAAUACCAUAUAGUGCAGGCUUAAAAAACAUUCGUCACGAUUCGUGAUUUGCUCAUUAGAAAACAUCACACUAUGGUCCAGUUAUCUAUAAAAGAUAAUAAUGAUUCAUAGAAUUAGUCAUCGACAGUUGAUGCACUCGUCUAGUGACUUUGUAGUUGUAGUUUCACAUCAUUAUGCAUGCCAUCUAUCCUUUACUUCCCACUCAGAAGUCAGAACAUCAAUUCCUCGACGAAGGUAUGGUAGCUGGUUAAUGCAAAGAACUAGUUAUGUUGUGUUAUAGGUUCAACCUCUUAAUUUUGUCGAUUUACAUUUAAGUCGUGGUAAUAAUAACGGUUUAGCUAUGUAUAAAAAGGUUUUUUCUAUUAUGGGAAUGGAUUAGCGCAAUCCUAUAAAAAAAAUUAAACCGUAUAUUUUGAUACCAGCGGCGGACCUACGUUACGAAUAGUGUGUCAGAUAACCCAGGUUAAAAUAUAUAGUUUUGACAUUUUGGCUAUGUGCAACAUGGAUUCGACAGCUCGGUAGGUUAGUUUCCUCCUCUAGUGACCCAUUUUUUUUCUGGUUCGAAUAUAUUUGACACUAUUUCUGACCCUUUCCCCCCCUCCAAAAAAAAAAUUGAAGCUGGAUCCGCAGAUGUUUGAUACCAAAACUAAAACAUACUUAUUAGUUAUAACAGGGUAAGUUACCCACAUGACCAAUAUUAUAUAAUAUAGAGUUGAGCUAAAUUUAAAACAUUUAUUUAACAUCUCUAAAAAACACUUAAAAUCUUGUUUUAUAGUUAUUUUAUAAUUAUUUUUAUAUUCAAUGUUCUACAGAAAACAAAAGAAAAAUGUAGAAAUAUUAAAAGAAACAUUUUAGUUAGAUUUCUCUUUAACAACAUCAUAUAGUGAAAUAAACUUAGCUAACAUCUCCACCAUACAACCCUAAAACAAAUUCCAGCUGAAAAGAGAAACUCCAAAACAUAGAACAAUCCAGAAAUUCAUAUCAUUUGAAGCUCAAUUCAGACUUUUUUUCAAGUUCAGUCCAAAAUUUUAACGUUCAAGAAAUAAACCGUUCCAAGUGGUGGCCAUCUAGAUUCCAAGUUUUAAAUCUAGGUGUAACUUAGAGAGAGAUUAUAUGAAUUUAUCAUUCUUUUUGAUCUUUAUAAGUUUAUAUAGUUACCAAAAGAAGUCAAAAGUUCAGGUAUAUACUAGUCUUUUGGAUAUAUAAUAUUGUGUAGCUUAGCUAAAAGCAGUCAUCAGAUGAAACAUUAUUUCUAUCUGCAAAGAGCAGUCAUUUUCUCUAUGGUUUUUUUUUUACCAUGUCACUGAAUAAAUGUUACUAUUGAGCUAGCAGUAGCUUGAAGUAUCGGAAUUUGCCGGAAAGUUGUUCUUGUCUCUAUCAUUAGCUCGGUUUGACCAAACUAAGUCGAUAAACCGGUUAAAGCAAAUCAAUGAGAUGAAUGAGAAAGGUAGAGAAUAGAACUAGAGGCGAAUCCACGUUGAGCAAUAAUGGGUCAGCUGUCACAAGUUAAAUUUAAGUUUCAGCUGUUUUGCUAUAAAAAAACAAGAGAUUCUGUAGGUCAUUUGGUUAACACUCUUCUCUUCUGACCCACCUAACCAGGGUUCAAUUUCAUAUUCUGCUACAUUAUUACUGAUUUUUUUUUAAAUGAUUUUCAUUAUGGACCAAAGCCCAAUUGUUGACACUCCUUAAAUUUUGGGAUGAGUAUGCCACUGAGUAGAACUAGCAGAGAAGUAAAGACAAUAGCCAUGUUUUUUAAAAACGCAGCAACUGGUUUUAGUGGCAAUAAAUAAAAUUGCGACGGAAGUAAUUUUACUUGCUGUAAAAUUACAUCAGCGGCCGCGUCAAUCGCCAAAGAUCGAUUAGAGACAGGAAACCGGAGUUGCCGAUGUUCUUUCUAGCGUCGCAUCUGCCGAUUAUUACUUGUUGUACCGAUUGAAAAAGAAAAUCUAUUUUGCCGCGACUGUGGUGUAUUUGGCGUGAUCAUAGCUGUUAUUUUAAACUGCUGUCGUUGGCGUUUAUUAAACGAACAGGCCUAAUGUGUAUUAAGCUAGUGCUAGUUUUACUCUCUACCUUGCUCAGAUUUUCGUACACGCAAUUUCAAACCUCUUCUUGUUUGUCUGACAUGGGACGAUCUCUCAUUCGGGGAUUUCAAGUUUGUAUUGCUACUUCUAGUCAUGUUCACUCCCAAAUUGAAAUUGUCUUUUUUUUUGCUAACCGAGUAUCCUGACCCCACCGAGGUGGUCCAGACUAGAGACCGAAGUGAGCAUGGACGCUGCCAGGGCGUCACCAUGUGGCUCACCGUGUAACGGUCUUCGGUCUCGGAUGCUGCAGCCCAUAUGUAAAUUCCGCAGUGGCCAAGGCUCGAACCCAGAGGCGGGCACUCCAGCUGGAGCUCCUAUACCACUAGACCAAAGCAACUUGGUUGAAAUUGUCUUUACUUCCCUGUUAUUUUUAUCUUUUUGGUAGUGGGACCAAAUUUAGAAAAAAAUUAACAUUUUGUAAAUCGCAACUUUAUUCGUAGCAAAAUAAUUUGUUACAACAUUUAAAAAAAAAAAUACACCCAUGAUACGAUACUCCGGUUUAACAGGAUAUUAAAAACAAAGAUUUAAAAUUAGAAAAUACCGUUUGACCAAACCAAGUCGAUAAACCGGUUAAAGCGGAUCAAAGAGAUGAAUGAGAAUGAUGUAGAAUCUACCGUACAUUGUGGCAUGACUCUUACAGUUAGCUGACAUGUUAAUCUAACAAAGACCGGUUUCGACGAUCCGAACAAACAACAAACAAAGCACAUGAUGUGGGACCUACCGCACGAACGCGACGUCUGUGCAACGUUAUCAAAUAUUUCUGUCUUCCAUAUUUUUAUCUUAUCUUUUUUGAUAAAAAAAAUAACUUUUCAAAAUAUGAUUCUUUAACCGUGAACUAACAUACAGAACCUAAAAUUAUUUUCUUAAAGUUAUCUUUCUACCGUGAACUAACAUACUACUAUUACUUAUGGAAAUUAAAAAAGAAGAAAUUCUUUUACACCAAUAAUUACACUACUUUUUUUUUUUUUACACUACUUGUAUAUAAAGAACCAAAUUUAAAAGUUAAAAUUAGUUUAUUAAACGACGAUCUAUGAAAAAGGCCAGCUACAAAUUCAAAGGGACCAAAGAUGGAGUUUAUAGUCCGUUAAUUGAUCAGCACUGGUUUUGUUUAUAAACCUGUCUAUUUUAUAAAUGAAAAUGUGUAAAAUUGUCUUUUUCGUCUAACUUGUAACCUCUAAAAUUUAAAUGUGCCUUUGUUCAUGAAUGUGCCUUUUGGUUUUUAGUUUUAAAAUACAAAUUUAAUUUUAACAGUUUAAAGUCAAAUAUUUAUUAAUCUAAUUUGAUAUUUCUUACGUUUCACAAAAAAAUUAUGUUCUUUUCGUUCAAAAAGAGUGUCACUUUAAAAUCUUAAUGCAAUCUAUACAUAUUUUAAGUUUAAUACUCCUUUCGUUCCAUUAAGAUAAACUU
This is a long non-coding RNA of Brassica rapa (field mustard), 6115 nucleotides long. RefSeq lists it as uncharacterized. The record is from RefSeq and is a predicted model, not a curated record. Lineage: Eukaryota; Viridiplantae; Streptophyta; Magnoliopsida; Brassicales; Brassicaceae.